CAACCAUGACAUGACCUGAGUUCCUUCUAUUCUUUUUCUUCAUUUAUUUCCUUUGAUUCUUGAGGUAGCAUCUCCCGCUCGAUUAAUUCCAUCUUUGACCAACUCCUUUGAUGCUACUUGUUGUCGUCAACUCACAAACACAUUUAAACUGGUGGGACAGUCUACAAGUAAACGAUGUGGGACUAUCUAUUAACCAUAAUCUUCUAUACUUUUUAUUACAGAAACACUCGCUGGAACAUCUCACGCAGACGGGCUAAGGCCCAAGUGGCAACGCAUCAGCCACGAAUGAUCGCAAGGCAAGGCCCGAGCAAGAGCGCAUAUGGAAAAUAUAUAAUUAGUGCACGUACGGACGCAUAUAGAUAGUACCACCUUGGAUAUUAAGAAAAAUAUCAAAUCAAGAAAAAACGGACAGGAAGAAGCGUAUUAUGACAUGGGAAGAAAGCGCAUUGUGACGGUGAACCCGGAGACUCAAUCGAUACUUUAUUAUUAGGGAGAGAUUAGCAAGCGUGGUGGAAAUUUCAGCUUUCGGUAUCUUUCUUUUAUUUGUAAUAAUAUCUUUCAUGUACUUAGCAUAAGGAUUGGUUUUGAGUAUAUCAGUUAAUCGCAUACACAAAAAGGUAGGUUUAAUCAUUUCAGCAAAGCGCUCAAAAUCCUCAUUAUCCUUUUUCUUGGAUGGUUUGGGAGGAAAAGGCAUGGGUUUCUGAACCCAAGGCUCUCUUUCUUACAAAUGUUUCCUAGCAACAAAGUCUUUCUAAUCAUAACGUUGAUUCUUUGAUUGUGGGUUAUCAAGAUCAAUAGCAGGUUCAAUUUCUACAUCAUUAUCAUUAUUAGGUUGAGCAUCAUUAUGAAUAUUAUCAUUAACAUUAUCACUAGUUUCAGGUUCAUUACUGGAUUGUGUUUCAGC
RNAcentral lists this long non-coding RNA (904 nucleotides) under Triticum aestivum (bread wheat). Its description in RNAcentral is "long non-coding RNA (TAES_LNC005146)". The record is from RNAcentral. Lineage: Eukaryota; Viridiplantae; Streptophyta; Magnoliopsida; Poales; Poaceae.